ACCAAUUCUGAAGGAUAAAAACAGUUCCUUUAGGUAUAAUGGCAUUGACGCAAUAUUGAUUUGUGGUAUAUCCUGAUCAUCUGGCCUUUUCUAUGUUAUUUGAUCCUGGAAAUGCCUCGCAUAUUU
Molecule: non-coding RNA, 126 nt
Organism: Brassica napus (rape)
Lineage: Eukaryota; Viridiplantae; Streptophyta; Magnoliopsida; Brassicales; Brassicaceae
Source: Rfam